UUCAAACUAAUUCUUUUGAAAAAAACAUCAUCUGCAAACUCAAUUAGGUAGUAGUACGUCUUAACAGACUAAGCACGAAAUGAUGGCUCCAGCUAGUUUGGGGCGUCUGUGCCUGUGCCUGAUCAAACACACUACAUGUGGUUCAAACUUCAUAUAGAAUCUUCCCAAAUGAACAACAUUGCCAUGCAAUGCACGGCAAUAUUCAAAGUAAAUGUUGGAAAUAAAAGGAGCCACCUUAAACCUACUAGCUGAGGCAUGCAAGAACGAAAUUGGCACAGGCAAGACAAACAGUCAAAUACAUAGUAAAAGACAACCAUAAUCCAGGGUGACUAUAAUUAUAUACCCCGCAUUACACAAUACUAGUAGUAAGUAGCAUAGUCCACAGUCGAUCUCUCCAAAUAACAUUGCACUGGCAAUCCCGCAAAAAAAAAACAUUGCACUAGCAGAUUCAGUCGUCACGGUCAUAGCAUAAUGCAUACUACCUACCAUACUCUAAAUUAUUCCUUAGAACGGCGUACGUACUCACCACCUCGUCAGUCGGCCAUCAGCACCGAUGAUGAGCUGAACUAAUCGGCAACGUAGUAUUGCUUGCUUGCCC
This 598-nucleotide long non-coding RNA is filed under the name Triticum aestivum (bread wheat). Its description in RNAcentral is "long non-coding RNA (TAES_LNC020328)". Lineage: Eukaryota; Viridiplantae; Streptophyta; Magnoliopsida; Poales; Poaceae. The record is from RNAcentral.